RNAcentral lists this ribosomal RNA (447 nucleotides) under uncultured bacterium. RNAcentral's name for it is "bacterial SSU rRNA". It matches the Rfam family "Bacterial small subunit ribosomal RNA", at positions 355 to 825 of the family's 1533-position model. The record is from RNAcentral.
UGGGGAAUAUUGGACAAUGGGCGCAAGCCUUAUCCAGCCAUGCCGCGUGAGUGACGAAGGCCUUAGGGUUGUAAAGCUCUUUCGGCGGGGAAGAUAAUGACGGUACCCGCAGAAGAAGCCCCGGCUAACUCUGUGCCAGCAGCCGCGGUAAUACAGAGGGGGCAAGCGUUGUUCGGAAUCACUGGGCGUAAAGCGCACGUAGGUGGAUAGUUAAGUUCGGGGUGAAAUCCCAGGGCUCAACCCUGGAACUGCCUCGGAUACUGGCUAUCUCGAGUCCGGAAGAGGUGAGUGGAAUUCCUAGUGUAGAGGUGAAAUUCGUAGAUAUUCGCAGGAACACCAGUGGCGAAGGCGACUUGCUGGACUUAUGGUGACGCUGAGGCGCGAAAGCCAGGGGAGCAAACGGGAUUAGAUACCCAAGUAGUCCCUGAGCGGGCUGGCAAGGCGCAU